Branchiostoma belcheri (Belcher's lancelet) is the source of this 1021-nucleotide long non-coding RNA. RefSeq lists it as uncharacterized. The transcript has 3 exons. NCBI's taxonomy places the organism in Eukaryota, Metazoa, Chordata, Leptocardii, Amphioxiformes, Branchiostomatidae. The record is from RefSeq and is a predicted model, not a curated record.
GUAUAAAACUGCUCACCCACAGCCCAGCUUUGAUAUUUUUGUUUCAACAUUGUAGGGUUGUAGGGCUAGCGGAGGGCUCCUGUGCUACACAGUGCAACUGCCAAGUGCAACAAGGAGAUCCCGUGGUGACACUGUGAAGAGUUGAACUUUUAAAAAGAAAUCUGAUUUCCUGACCAGAAAGAUUCUACGCACCCAGCUGUCAACAUGGACACUGCAAGGCGAGUGACAUGGAAACCAACAUCAGUGACUAGCAUCACUGAUCAUGCAUAUGCGCAUGACAGCAUCACACCGCUCUUCUGCAGUGAUGCGGCACCAGGCAUGAUGAUGAUGUCCGGACAACUGGAUCCACCAGGUGACCAGUUGUCCCUCCAGUCAUCUGGGAUGAAAGGCUAACAGCCAAACAAUUUUUAUGGGACGAGACUUCAGCUGUCAUCAAGUACAACUCAGCUAUAAACACACUGGGCUAUAUGAAACCAAGUGCAUGCAACAUUCUACAUUCUACAUGUAGCUAUAGGACAGUCUUUUUGAUAUUGUAAAUACAGACAAAGUGGUACAUAUACAUGUAAUCAGUCACCAUAGCCUCUAUACAAUAAAAUCUAUUAGAGACUUAAUUAUGACGUAAAGGGUAACAAGUGCAAUCAUUGGAAUUGAUUUAUCACCAUCGGAAUGGUCCAUACCUUUACUGUACAUGUAUGGCAUUUGUGACACCAUUGCUGCAUUUUGCCACUGUAAAUGUCAACAAUGUAGUUUUUUUUAACAACUGGAUAAGCUGAGUCUCAGAGGCAGGGGUCCCAUGUGAAAACAAUACCUGCCUCACACUAGUGUAGUUAAAAAAGUGCAAAAAAAGGAUGACAUGAGCAAAGGAGCUGGAUACACAACCACACGUCAUUGAGGUGAAACUCUGAAACAGGUGGUUAUUCUCCAAGCAGAUGUUACAUGCCACAGGCAACUCCAGUAUGUCAUUUGUACAACAACCAGUAUGUGAAACUGUUGGAACUAAUACACCAAUUCUGUCAUCCUA